Molecule: ribosomal RNA, 486 nt
Filed under: uncultured bacterium
Lineage: Bacteria
Description: partial 16S ribosomal RNA
Rfam family: Bacterial small subunit ribosomal RNA
Source: RNAcentral
AUUGAACGCUGGCGGCAUGCCUUACACAUGCAAGUCGAACGGCAGCACGGGUGCUUGCACCUGGUGGCGAGUGGCGAACGGGUGAGUAAUACAUCGGAACAUGUCCUGUAGUGGGGGAUAGCCCGGCGAAAGCCGGAUUAAUACCGCAUACGAUCUACGGAUGAAAGCGGGGGACCUGCGGGCCUCGCGCUAUGGGGUUGGCCGAUGGCUGAUUAGCUAGUUGGUGGGGUAAAGGCCUACCAAGGCGACGAUCAGUAGCUGGUCUGAGAGGACGACCAGCCACACUGGGACUGAGACACGGCUCAGACUCCUACGGGAGGCAGCAGUGGGGAAUUUUGGACAAUGGGCGAAAGCCUGAUCCAGCAAUGCCGCGUGUGUGAAGAAGGCCUUCGGGUUGUAAAGCACUUUUGUCCGGAAAGAAAUCCUUGGCUCUAAUACAGUCGGGGGAUGACGGUACCGGAAGAAUAAGCACCGGCUAACUACGUG